GUCAAACAUUUGCGGCUACGGCUAAUCUAUCAGUAGAUCAUGCUAUUAAUAAGAUGCAGCUGCGAGAUGAUACUGAAGGUAUCCAUAGGCAUGAUAUCCACCUUCCCAACCGGCGUAUUCGGCAGUGGUUCAGUGUGUUUUAUUUGUUUUUUGAUUUGUACUUAUAACAUGAUGCAGACGACACAGCUUCCGAACUGCUUGAAACUGUUUUUCUAAAUAAUGAAUGCAAAAAAUACGCUGAGGAAGCAAGGGAGCAGUACAAUGCAAGGAGGCGUGCAGCUUAUCGGAAGAAUAAUAAUGAGGAUAUUGUCAGCUUACAAGAUGAGAAUCAGCCGGUACUUGCAAAAUCAGGUGAGGUUGAUGGCUGAUCUUAGUUUGAUGUGCAUACGUAUAGUAUGCACAUGAUUCGUUGUAUUAAUCUAUAUCCCUGAUUAUAGGUGAUAUGAUGCUCAUACUAUGUUGCUUAUUAGAUCAUAGGGAUCUUAUCAACGCUCGUAGGCUGGUGGCUUAUCGCAAUAACAAGUCAGAUGGUUCGGCUAACCAACAAGUCAAUGGGAAGUCAUCCCGUCGCCAGUCUCUAUGUGAUAUCACAAAUGUUCUCGAAGAUAGGGAGAUAAAUAAACCCACAUGAGAUUAUCAUGGUUGGUAAAUUGAUCCACGUCCCAUAUGCACUGUGUUUGCACGAAGGUAGUCACUUAUUACGCAAUUUAAAUAAGUACUGACCAAUCUUGUUGAAUCAUAUAAUUCAGCUAGCUCAACAUUUCCUGCUACAAGUACGGUCACAUCUGGUCUCAUUAAUGAAAAUGAAAUACAAGAUGCAAAUGUAAUCAUGUAUGACACCCAAGAAACAGAGCAUAAAACGGAAGAAGAACGCAAGAGAGACCAUAGAAAUGCCCUGAGGAGGGCUUCCUAUCGGCGGAAGAAACAAUAUAAUGUUCAAGUUGAACAUGCACAGACCAUUCAUUUAUCAAGUAAGCUUAUAAUGAUUUAACCAUUAUGGUCAGAACCGUCUUAAUAAUUAAGCAUUAAUUUGUGUGGACAACUUUGGUUCACCAGGCAACCCCACUAGCUCUAACUAUACAUCAUUCUCGCGUGAUGCGCGGACAUUUCCUGAUACAACUACGAUCUCAUGUGGGAUCGUUAAUGACAACGAGCUACAAGAUGUGAUUUUGAAUGACACACAAGAAACAGAGGAAAAAACAGAAGAAGAACGCAAGAGAGACCAUAGAAACGCCCUGCGGCGAGCUGCUUAUUGGAGGAACAAGGAUAAGCAUAUCAAAGAUCAAAACAAACGUCCAUCUGGUACUUCAGACGACCUGAAUAGCCCUAGCGUUACAGAAUUAAUGAAAGAGGGAGCAACAUGUCCCCCUUCAACUUUACACGCGUCUGUCAUUCAAGAGACUAUUCUAGCUAGGAGGCAAAGUGACAAUGAGCGGAAACGUAAUUCAACAAACGAGCAAAGGGAGGCGAAAAACGCAAGUAGCAGAGCAUGCCAUCAGAAGAAAAGUGACGAAUUAACGGUGGAGGUUAGAGAAACAAAGAAUGAAAAAAUACGCGUGACUCGCGUGCAGCGCCGCAAAAGCAUGUCGGUGAUUGAGAAGGGGGAGUCAAGUGCACAGAGGAAGGCCAAUUAUGAAAGAAGGAAAAAAAAC
Molecule: non-coding RNA, 1652 nt
Organism: Aegilops tauschii subsp. strangulata
Lineage: Eukaryota; Viridiplantae; Streptophyta; Magnoliopsida; Poales; Poaceae
Source: RefSeq, a predicted model, not a curated record